RNAcentral lists this ribosomal RNA (407 nucleotides) under uncultured bacterium. Its description in RNAcentral is "partial 16S ribosomal RNA". It matches the Rfam family "Bacterial small subunit ribosomal RNA", at positions 28 to 526 of the family's 1533-position model. The record is from RNAcentral.
GACGAACGCUGGCGGCGUGCCUAAUACAUGCAAGUAGGACGCAGUUGCGAACGGGUGAGUAACGCGUAGGUAACUGCCUAUUAGAGGGGGAUAACUAUUGGAAACGAUAGCUAAUACCGCAUACUAGUAGAUGGACCUGCGUUGUAUUAGGUAGUAGGUAGGGUAAUGGCCUACCUAGGCGGCGAUACAUAGCCGACCUGAGAGGGUGCACGGCCACACUGGGACUGAGAAACCGCCCAGACUCCUACGGGAGGCAGCAGUAGGGAAUCUUCGGCAAUGGGGGGAACCCUGACCGAGCAACGCCGCUGUAGUGAAGAAGGUUUUCGGAUCGUAAAGCUCUUUUGUUAAGGAAGCGUUACUUAACCAGAAAGGGACGGCUAACUACGUGCCAGCAGCCGCGGUAAUUC